RNAcentral lists this ribosomal RNA (729 nucleotides) under uncultured soil bacterium. Its description in RNAcentral is "bacterial SSU rRNA". It matches the Rfam family "Bacterial small subunit ribosomal RNA", at positions 38 to 759 of the family's 1533-position model. The record is from RNAcentral.
GGCGGCAUGCCUUACACAUGCAAGUCGAACGGCAGCACGGGAGCAAUCCUGGUGGCGAGUGGCGAACGGGUGAGUAAUAUAUCGGAACGUGCCCAGUCGUGGGGGAUAACGCAGCGAAAGCUGUGCUAAUACCGCAUACGAUCUCUGGAUGAAAGCGGGGGACUCGCAAGGGCCUCGCGCGAUUGGAGCGGCCGAUAUCAGAUUAGCUAGUUGGCGGGGUAAAGGCCCACCAAGGCGACGAUCUGUAGCUGGUCUGAGAGGACGACCAGCCACACUGGAACUGAGACACGGUCCAGACUCCUACGGGAGGCAGCAGUGGGGAAUUUUGGACAAUGGGCGCAAGCCUGAUCCAGCAAUGCCGCGUGCAGGAUGAAGGCCUUCGGGUUGUAAACUGCUUUUGUACGGAACGAAACGGUCUGUCCUAAUACGGUGGGCUAAUGACGGUACCGUAAGAAUAAGCACCGGCUAACUACGUGCCAGCAACCGCGGUAAUACGUAGGGUGCGAGCGUUAAUCGGAAUUACUGGGCGUAAAGCGCGCGUAGGCGGUUUUGCAAGCCAGAGGUGAAAUGCCUGAGCUCAACUCGGGAAUUGCCUUUGGGACUGCGAGGCUUUGAGGACUGGAGAGGUGAGUGGAAUUCCCAGUGUAGAGGUGAAAUUCGUAGAUAUUGGGAAGAGCACCGGUGGCGAAGGCGGCUCACUGGCCAGUUUCUGACGCUGCAGCGCGAAAG